AGAGUUUGAUCAUGGCUCAGAUUGAACGCUGGCGGCAGGCCUAACACAUGCAAGUCGAGCGGUAGCACAAGAGAGCUUGCUCUCUGGGUGACGAGCGGCGGACGGGUGAGUAAUGUCUGGGGAACUGCCUGAUGGAGGGGGAUAACUACUGGAAACGGUAGCUAAUACCGCAUAACGUCUUCGGACCAAAGUGGGGGACCUUCGGGCCUCACGCCAUCAGAUGUGCCCAGAUGGGAUUAGCUAGUGGGUGGGGUAAUGGCUCACCUAGGCGACGAUCCCUAGCUGGUCUGAGAGGAUGACCAGCCACACUGGAACUGAGACACGGUCCAGACUCCUACGGGAGGCAGCAGUGGGGAAUAUUGCACAAUGGGCGCAAGCCUGAUGCAGCCAUGCCGCGUGUGUGAAGAAGGCCUUCGGGUUGUAAAGCACUUUCAGCGAGGAGGAAGGGUAGUGUGUUAAUAGCACAUUGCAUUGACGUUACUCGCAGAAGAAGCACCGGCUAACUCCGUGCCAGCAGCCGCGGUAAUACGGAGGGUGCAAGCGUUAAUCGGAAUUACUGGGCGUAAAGCGCACGCAGGCGGUUUGUUAAGUCAGAUGUGAAAUCCCCGCGCUUAACGUGGGAACUGCAUUUGAAACUGGCAAGCUAGGGUCUUGUAGAGGGGGGUAGAAUUCCAGGUGUAGCGGUGAAAUGCGUAGAGAUCUGGAGGAAUACCGGUGGCGAAGGCGGCCCCCUGGACAAAGACUGACGCUCAGGUGCGAAAGCGUGGGGAGCAAACAGGAUUAGAUACCCCGGUAGUCC
RNAcentral lists this ribosomal RNA (799 nucleotides) under uncultured bacterium. RNAcentral describes it as "bacterial SSU rRNA". It matches the Rfam family "Bacterial small subunit ribosomal RNA", at positions 8 to 796 of the family's 1533-position model. The record is from RNAcentral.